GUAGGUGGCAAGCGUUAUCCGGAUUUAUUGGGUGUAAAGGGCGUGUAGCCGGGAGGGCAAGUCAGAUGUGAAAUCCACGGGCUCAACUCGUGAACUGCAUUUGAAACUACUCUUCUUGAGUAUCGGAGAGGCAAUCGGAAUUCCUAGUGUAGCGGUGAAAUGCUUAGAUAUCACGAAGAACUCCGAUUGCGAAGGCAGCUCACUGGAGCGCAACUGACGCUGAAGCUCGAAAGUGCGGGUAUCGAACAGGAUUAGAUACCCUGGUAGUCCGCACGGUAAACGAUGGAUGCCCGCUGUUGGUCUGAAUAGGUCAGCGGCCAAGCGAAAGCAUUAAGCAUCCCACCUGGGGAGU
RNAcentral lists this ribosomal RNA (352 nucleotides) under uncultured bacterium. RNAcentral describes it as "bacterial SSU rRNA". It matches the Rfam family "Bacterial small subunit ribosomal RNA", at positions 527 to 881 of the family's 1533-position model. The record is from RNAcentral.